Molecule: ribosomal RNA, 495 nt
Filed under: uncultured bacterium
Lineage: Bacteria
Description: bacterial SSU rRNA
Rfam family: Bacterial small subunit ribosomal RNA
Source: RNAcentral
CGGACACGCUGGCGGCGUGCCUAACACAUGCAAGUCGAACGGUCCGGCACUCAACCGACCCUCAGUCUAGCUGUAGGUGAAGUUGAGUGCCGGAUAGUGGCGGACGGGUGAGUAACGCGUGGGCAACCAACCCUGUACAGUGGGAUAACACCGGGAAACCGGUGCUAAUACCGCAUGACACCUAGAUGGUGCAUACUGUUUAGGUUAAAGGAUUUAACCGGUACAGGACGGGCCCGCGUCCCAUUAGCUGGUUGGUGAGGUAACGGCUCACCAAGGCGACGAUGGGUAGCCGACCUGAGAGGGUGACCGGCCACACUGGGACUGAGACACGGCCCAGACUCCUACGGGAGGCAGCAGUGGGGAAUAUUGCGCAAUGGACGGAAGUCUGACGCAGCGACGCCGCGUGAGCGACGAAGGCCUUCGGGUCGUAAAGCUCUGUUCUUGGGGACGAAUAAAAUGACGGUACCCAAGGAGAAAGCCCCGGCUAACUACGUG